GAUCAUGGCUCAGGAUGAACGCUAGCGACAGGCUUAACACAUGCAAGUCGAGGGGCAGCGAGGGAGUGACAACACUUCUGUCGGCGACCGGCGCACGGGUGAGUAACGCGUAUGCAACCUGCCCUUCACAGGGGGAUAACCGGGAGAAAUUCCGACUAAUACCGCAUACGUCCUCCGGGGGCAUCCCCGGGGGAUGAAAGAAUUAUCGGUGAAGGACGGGCAUGCGUGAUAUUAGGUAGUUGGCGGGG
Molecule: ribosomal RNA, 248 nt
Filed under: uncultured bacterium
Lineage: Bacteria
Description: partial 16S ribosomal RNA
Rfam family: Bacterial small subunit ribosomal RNA
Source: RNAcentral